AUCCUCCCCAGGGCAGAGAGAAGCUGAUAGAGCUCGCUGGCUCCUGCUCUGCUCCCUUUUUUUUUUUUUUUUUUUUUUUUUUUUUUUUCAGGACAAAUGAGAAGCAGCUGCCUCCAAGUGUGAGAUUUUGGGGUGUGCGUCAGAGUAAGGGAUGCUUGACAGCAAAUGUCUUGCCCUGGUUCCUGCCUGGGGAGCUGCAAUGUCAAGUGAAAUAACCUUCCAGGCUGCCUUUGGUGCGGAGGUCCUUUGGCUUAUGGUAUUGCUUUCUGUCUGGUGAGCUGUCUGCCUCCUGUAUGCCUGAUCUCAGGCUUUCUUCGCUCUUUCGCUCUCUUUUUUUUUUUUUUUUUCCUCCUUGGGCUGGGAUGUGCUCUGCCUUUAAUGCAUCGGGAAGCCAUAUGCAAUGAGGAAACUCAUCAUCUGUGCAUCAGGGCGAAUUACUGACUGAGUGCUGAGCAGUCACGGUAUUGAUUCAGACCGUAGCCCAGUCUCUCCGCCUGCCGCCCGGUGUGGCUGGCUGCAUCCUUCUGGUUUGCCGCAUUUAAUCGGCUUCCCGGAGCCACCAAGCAGAGGGGGGAGUUGGAACCAAACCCAUCUACAAUGUUUGCUUCAAAAUCCAGCUCUGUGUCCCCUUCUCCAUCCAUGGACCAGGCAGAUUCAGAUGCUCUGGACAUCAGCACCAAAGUGCAGCUGUAUGGAGUACUCUGGAAGAGACCCUUUGGGAGGCAGUCAGCCAAGUGGUCCAGGAGGUUCUUCAUCAUUAAGGAGAGUUUCCUGCUCUACUAUGCUGAGAGUGAGAAGAAGAACUUUGAAAGCAAUAAAUACUUCAAUAUCCACCCCAAGGGUGUCAUACCCCUGGGGGGCUGCAUCGUGGAACCCAAAGAAGAGCCCAACAUGCCUUAUGCCAUAAAGAUCUCUCAUGAAGACUUCCAUGGUAACAUUGUUCUAGCAGCCGAGUCAGAGUUUGAGCAGGCUCAGUGGCUGGAGAUGCUGCAGGAGUCUGGAAAAGUUACCUGGAAGAAUGCCCAGCUGGGAGAAGCCAUGAUCGAGAGCCUGGAAGCCCAGGGACUGCAGCUGGCCAAGGAGAAACAGGAGUAUUUAGAUAAGCUGAUGGAGGAAACAGAGGAGCUGUGUCUGCAGAGGGAGCAGAAAGAGGAACUGGAACGCCUGAACCAGGUUCUGGAAGCAGAGAAGCACAGGUUUGAAGAGGUGGUACGGGAGCUGCGGCUGGAGCAGGAGCAGAUCAGGCAGGAGCUAGAGCUCACAGCCCGCUCCCUUAAAGGAGUGGAGGAAGAAAAGAAAGAGUUGCGAAGCCUGACAGAGUCCUUACAGAAAACCCUAGAGGAGCUCUCCCUGGAAAAGCAGCAAAUGCUGGAGAUGAUGGAAGAAAACGAAAGCCAGUUCCCGCCUCCAACCAGCCCUAGCAAGGAGCAAAGCCCCAGCUGGGGACUGCACUGCAGCCUGCGACAGAUUGAGGAGAAGAUGCAACAGCUUCUGAAGGAGAAACUCCUGGCAGAGAAGAGGAUGAAGGAGAAUGAGGAGAGGUCCCGAGCCCUGGAGGAGGAGCGGGAGUUUUACUCUUCCCAGUCACAGGCACUGCAGAACUCGCUCUCAGAGCUGACCGCAGAGAAGCAGCAGGCAGAGAGAGACCUCAAGGCUGAGGUGAAGGUGCGCAUGGAUCUGGAGAAGAGACUGAGGGAAGCUGAGGAAGCAUUGCAGCGCUUGGAGCAAGGUUUAAAUUCUCUGGAUCGCAACAAGGAGAAAGAGGAGAAGAUGAAAGCAGAUGUCAGUCAUUUGAGAAAGUUCUUUGAAGAGUGCAUCCGCAACGCCGAGCUGGAGGCCAAGAUGCCUGUGAUCAUGAAGAACUCAGUGUACAUCCACAAGGCUGCCACUCGCCGCAUAAAGAGCUGCCGCCUUCACCGCCGGAGAACCAGCGCGUCGUGGAAUGACUUGAAGCAGUCCCAGUCCUUCAUCUACUCACACGCAGAAGCUGAAAACAUUGAAGAGCUGAAGGAGGCAGCCAAAAGACUGAGCCGGCACCAGCACUUCCGCGAGACUCUCUACCAAAUCAUGAGGUCACAAAAAGAUUCAGCUUCAGGGGACAAAAAGUGACUCUUACUGGGAGGGACUUCUGAUCUCAACUUGCCAUUCAGCUCUGCAAAAGCUAAGCCAUCAGGCACUAGGGUCAGAAGGGAGAUAUGUCCUUUGGUGAGGAAGGUGAGGGAAAGUUGUGUAUAGGCAAUUCCCUCAGUUAGUGGCUUUGCUUUAGUUUGGAUGCCCCCCGUAGCCUGGCAGACCUUCCCUGCUGAUCACUGCGGAUCACAUCUCUUUGCUUCAGCUGCUUACGUUAAGCCACAUUUUGCCAAGAUACCACGGCCGGUGUGAAAGUGACCACCGACCUUAGCUUAGGAAGUGCCUCUUCUUUUCUUUCCUGCCUAGUCUGCCUGCCUGACAUGAGUGCUUCUGUGAAACCCGCUGUUAGCCCGUGGUCCAGCUGGAGCAGCCACCUGAGUCGGGCAGAGCUUGCCCUGUUUUGCCUGAUCUCCGCUAGGAGCUGGCUCACUGAGCACCCCUGCUCAUCAGCACUUCCAUGGUUCAUGACGCAUUUCCUGAAGACUGCAGCAACCCCAGCCUCCCAGGCACAGACUGUUAUAUCAGCCACGGGGCAAUGUCCUGAUGCAGCAACAUUUCAAGCAAGCGGUAGCAGCGCAAGAUGAAGGGAUGCUGUGGAUUUGGCUCCAAGAAGAAUCACGUGCAAAGUAGAUCUUAUAGGAGUUGAGACAAAUCGCCGUGACACACAUUUACUGCCAGGGUACUUGCUGUGCUUCACUGCAUUGCUGUACAUGCUGAACAUCACCUCCAAAAGGACUGUAUGUAAAAUGCUUUCACCCUUGCCACCCGCUUCCACCUUAUUUACCAUGUUGAGCCUCUGCACUUUAAAAUGUGUAUAGCAUUAAAGCGAGGAUGUAUUAAACCAGCAUUAAAACAGAAAUCUGGUUGCUUACCUGGAGCCAGCGGGCUGGGUGCCCAUUAGCACCAAGCCAUGCCCUCAGCCCACUGUAGCAAUGUGCUUGCCACCUCGCUGCAGGUAGUGGCCAUGCAGAGGAGCCUACCAGCCCCGACCCUGUGAGCUCCUUGGCAGUCAUCCCAUCUGGGAACUUCUCCCUCUGGUGACUUUCCCAGCUCACCCCUUUGGAGAUGCAUUAAAAAAAUGGUUUAAUGCACAGACACCACCAAGCAUGAACCCUGCUGAUUCUCUUCUGUCAUCUUACCUACUUUUUUUUCACAGCACCCCCUGCUAAGGCCAAGGUAAGGGUUAAUUUUGUCUUCCACAUGAGCUGCAGGACAACUCCAGGCUGUUUCUCUCUCUGGCAUAGAAGCGGUUCCUGCUUCACAGGCAGGGGUUUGGCAGAUCCCCUGGCUCUCACUCCCCCAGGCCUUUGCUGUUGCACAGAAGUACAUGACAGAAAGGAAGGCAGCGCCGGCCCCGCUGCUGCCUGUGUUUGCUGCCUCUUAAGCAGAGACAGUGGACAAGAAAUGGAAACUGCCCUUGGGGUCAGAAGUCAGUAACAAAGGGUGAAUGCUGUGCUAUGCGUGACUGCGCAUGGCACACGGGACGAAGGCUGGUGGCAAUUUUCAGCUCCAGAGUGUGGCUCUUACCUCCAGAGGGGGGGCAGGCUUUCCACUCAGGACAUUAGCAUGGCGUUAACGCAGCUCUUUGGAGAUAAGAUGACAGUUUUUCACAAAAGCAGUCUGUUUCAACUGCUUUCUCAUGCAGUUGUUUCCUGUGGCUACUGGAGGGGCAGAAGAUGGCUGGAGCUGUGCCUGGGCUGUUGUCAGUCACAGGAGAGCAGCCGUGUGGGUCUGAGGAGGCCUGUCCCUCAUGGUGACAGUUCUAUGAGCAGCCACGGUGUCUUUCUGCCUGCCGGGAUAAUGUCUCUUCUAUAUUAAGUAACUCAUUUACUUCUUACUGUAGGCUUAACUCUAAAGCCGGAAUGAGGAAAGAUCCAACUGAGGAUUCAGCCAGGUCUGUGAGUCCUUUCUGCUCCUUUCGGCACCAGCACCAGUGUAGGAUGUGCUGCAGUGCUGGGAAUGACAUCUCCUUCAGCGUUGGCAGGUCUGGCACUUCAGAGGAAGAAAUAUGACAAAGGCCAUUUUGUGAGGGUAGCAAAGGCACCUUUUGCUAACUCAGAGGUGUUGCAAUAAAUAGCACGGCAGGAUCAUGUGUUCUUUUGCUGUAUUAUGAAAAGUGAAGGCUUUGCAUUGCUUAAAAUAAUAAGUAAACUCUGCUUA
RNA transcript from Oxyura jamaicensis (ruddy duck), 4290 nucleotides. It is a transcript of the gene named pleckstrin homology and coiled-coil domain containing D1, with no coding region annotated. The transcript has 14 exons. NCBI's taxonomy places the organism in Eukaryota, Metazoa, Chordata, Aves, Anseriformes, Anatidae. The record is from RefSeq and is a predicted model, not a curated record.